This 204-nucleotide ribosomal RNA is filed under the name Cupriavidus sp. L7L. Its description in RNAcentral is "partial 23S ribosomal RNA". It matches the Rfam family "Bacterial large subunit ribosomal RNA", at positions 1 to 202 of the family's 2925-position model. Lineage: Bacteria; Pseudomonadati; Pseudomonadota; Betaproteobacteria; Burkholderiales; Burkholderiaceae. The record is from RNAcentral.
GUUAUAGGGUCAAGCGAACAAGUGCAUGUGGUGGAUGCCUUGGCGAUCACAGGCGAUGAAGGACGCGGUAGCCUGCGAAAAGCUUCGGGGAGCUGGCAAACAAGCUUUGAUCCGGAGAUGUCCGAAUGGGGAAACCCGGCCCGUAUGGGUCAUCCCACACUGAAUCCAUAGGUGUGGGAAGCGAACGCGGCGAACUGAAACAUC